CGGGGUCCAGCGUCCAGUAGUUGCCCUUGCCCGGGUUGCCCGGCUCGCGCGGCACCUUGACGAAGCAGUCGUUGAGCGUCAGGUUGUGGCGGAUGCUGUUCUGCCACUUGCGCGGGCUGUCGCGGUAGAAGGCGAAGCGCUCGGUGAUGAAGCGGCCCUCUGCCAAUGCUCAGGGAAGACGGAGAUGAAGAGACUCUUGAUCUGCUGGGGAGAUGGACACACAUUUACAACUAUGAGAGAGUUGGCAUUUCCAGUAUUAAACCAGGAAGGGAAGGAGAGCGGCAGCCCGACAACUGAUUUCAGAGCCCACAUAUUCUCAACCGAGUGCAGCAGAAUCCUGCAGCUGGACUCAGGCAUAGAACCAGAGCCACAGUCUUUCUCAGACUUGGGGUUGGAGGCCCUCUGAGGCCCUACCACAGCCUCUGUCUCACACCUACAGCUAUGGUGUGGGGCUCAGGGUAUGGAGAGUGGCUCUUAUUACCUCCCACGGCUGACUGCAAUUUUCUUGUACCUUCACUUUGCCAAUCCAUGUGUAGAGCCUGGGUCAUAGUAUAUGUUCAAUAAAUUAUACUGAAUGUGCA
This 581-nucleotide long non-coding RNA is filed under the name Vulpes vulpes (red fox). Its description in RNAcentral is "lncRNA (ENSVVUG00000006386.1)". The record is from RNAcentral. Lineage: Eukaryota; Metazoa; Chordata; Mammalia; Carnivora; Canidae.